AAAUUGAAGAGUUUGAUCAUGGCUCAGAUUGAACGCUGGCGGCAGGCCUAACACAUGCAAGUCGAACGGUAACAGGAAGCAGCUUGCUGCUUUGCUGACGAGUGGCGGACGGGUGAGUAAUGUCUGGGAAACUGCCUGAUGGAGGGGGAUAACUACUGGAAACGGUGGCUAAUACCGCAUAACGUCGCAAGACCAAAGAGGGGGACCUUCGGGCCUCUUGCCAUCAGAUGUGCCCAGAUGGGAUUAGCUUGUUGGUGAGGUAACGGCUCACCAAGGCGACGAUCCCUAGCUGGUCUGAGAGGAUGACCAGCCACACUGGAACUGAGACACGGUCCAGACUCCUACGGGAGGCAGCAGUGGGGAAUAUUGCACAAUGGGCGCAAGCCUGAUGCAGCCAUGCCGCGUGUAUGAAGAAGGCCUUCGGGUUGUAAAGUACUUUCAGCGGGGAGGAAGGUGUUGUGGUUAAUAACCACAGCAAUUGACGUUACCCGCAGAAGAAGCACCGGCUAACUCCGUGCCAGCAGCCCGCGUAAUACGGAGGGUGCAAGCGUUAAUCGGAAUUACUGGGCGUAAAGCGCACGCAGGCGGUCUGUCAAGUCGGAUGUGAAAUCCCCGGGCUCAACCUGGGAACUGCAUUCGAAACUGGCAGGCUUGAGUCUUGUAGAGGGGGGUAGAAUUCCAGGUGUAGCGGUGAAAUGCGUAGAGAUCUGGAGGAAUACCGGUGGCGAAGGCGGCCCCCUGGACAAAGACUGACGCUCAGGUGCGAAAGCGUGGGGAGCAAACAGGAUUAGAUACCCUGGUAGUCCACGCCGUAAACGAUGUCUACUUGGAGGUUGUGCCCUUGAGGCGUGGCUUCCGGAGCUAACGCGUUAAGUAGACCGCCUGGGGAGUACGGCCGCAAGGUUAAAACUCAAAUGAAUUGACGGGGGCCCGCACAAGCGGUGGAGCAUGUGGUUUAAUUCGAUGCAACGCGAAGAACCUUACCUGGUCUUGACAUCCACAGAACUUUCCAGAGAUGGACUGGUGCCUUCGGGAACUGUGAGACAGGUGCUGCAUGGCUGUCGUCAGCUCGUGUUGUGAAAUGUUGGGUUAAGUCCCGCAACGAGCGCAACCCUUAUCCUUUGUUGCCAGCGAUUAGGUCGGGAACUCAAAGGAGACUGCCAGUGAUAAACUGGAGGAAGGUGGGGAUGACGUCAAGUCAUCAUGGCCCUUACGACCAGGGCUACACACGUGCUACAAUGGCGCAUACAAAGAGAAGCGACCUCGCGAGAGCAAGCGGACCUCAUAAAGUGCGUCGUAGUCCGGAUUGGAGUCUGCAACUCGACUCCAUGAAGUCGGAAUCGCUAGUAAUCGUGGAUCAGAAUGCCACGGUGAAUACGUUCCCGGGCCUUGUACACACCGCCCGUCACACCAUGGGAGUGGGUUGCAAAAGAAGUAGGUAGCUUAACCUUCGGGAGGGCGCUUACCACUUUGUGAUUCAUGACUGGGGUGAAGUCGUAACAAGGUAACCGUAGGGGAACCUGCGGUUGGAUCACCUCCUUACCUUAAAGAA
RNAcentral lists this ribosomal RNA (1552 nucleotides) under Salmonella enterica subsp. enterica serovar California. RNAcentral describes it as "16S ribosomal RNA". It matches the Rfam family "Bacterial small subunit ribosomal RNA". Lineage: Bacteria; Pseudomonadati; Pseudomonadota; Gammaproteobacteria; Enterobacterales; Enterobacteriaceae. The record is from RNAcentral.